CUUUCAUGGGGUGUGGUUUGAGCAUCAGCAGGGCUCUGUGAUGUGGGAACCCGAGUAACAGUUUCUCAUUUUACAAUGAGGAAAUCUAGACUCAGAUAUUUGCCUAAGGCUACGGACUUCAAAGAGUGGGGAAGCAAUGUUUUGAACCAAGCUCUAGACUUCAUUUUCCUCCAGUUCCUCUCACAGACAAGGACAGUCCCCAGCGGCAGACCCACAGCUUUCCUCCUUGGCCGUCCUUGACUUUCCGCAAAGACCUCGACUCUUAUGAACGAGACAUCUCUUUCAGAUAUUACUCUACUUUGAAGACAGCAAGGAAAAGAAGAUUGAGAAAACUUCAGUGCGUGGUUCUUACACAGAAUCAAGAAUCAGGGUUCUCAACAGGUGCACACCUUUAAUCCCAGCACUUGGGAGGUGGCUCUCUCUGAGUUCAAGGCCAGCCUGGUCUACAGAGUGAGUUCCAGGACAGCUGGGACUACGCAGAGAAACAAACCCUGUCUUGAAAAAACAAAAUAAAACAAAAACAAAACAAACA
Molecule: long non-coding RNA, 532 nt
Filed under: Mus spicilegus (steppe mouse)
Lineage: Eukaryota; Metazoa; Chordata; Mammalia; Rodentia; Muridae
Description: lncRNA (ENSMSIG00000022118.1)
Source: RNAcentral